Molecule: long non-coding RNA, 628 nt
Organism: Ictalurus punctatus (channel catfish)
Lineage: Eukaryota; Metazoa; Chordata; Actinopteri; Siluriformes; Ictaluridae
Exons: 2
Source: RefSeq, a predicted model, not a curated record
UGAUGAAAAGCAUCCCUACAACAUGAUGCUACCACCAUCAUGCUUCACUGUUUACUGUUUUACUGAUUUACUCUUUUAGUGUUGGACAAACACAGAGCUUUGUGCCAAGGCCAAAAAGUGACUUUAGUCUCAUCAGACAUUUGUGUGUGAGCGUGUGUGAGUGUGUGUGUAUUUGUGUUCGUGUUCGCGGGCUUUGUCCAGUCGAGAGCAUUGGGACUUUUAUUUUGAAGAGAAGACGAGGUCUAUUCUGAUCGCUGUAGCUGCUUUCAGACUUUCGUCACGUGGGCAGGCCCCACCUCAUAGACAUAUAAAUAUGGUCCCCUUUCCUGUGUUUAGUGAGGAUGGUUCGUGCAAUUCUUGUGUUAGUUGUUUAAGGAAGUAUCUGAUGAUGACGAUGAAGCGUCAAGGUUUUCAGGCAUCAACAGGCAUUUCAAAUGUUAUUGUGUGGUUGUUGAACUAAUUAAAGCACUUUUUUUGGGGGGGGUAUGUAUAUAACUUGGUGGUAUUUGUUAGACAGGGUGUGGAAAAUGUGGCUUUUGCAUAAAUAUGUAUUUUUUUGUUUUAAUGUUUAACUUCUGAUUAAAAAAGAAUCUUUUAUCAAUUUAAAUAAAAACUGUAAGAUUCCACA